Molecule: long non-coding RNA, 402 nt
Filed under: Cicer arietinum (chickpea)
Lineage: Eukaryota; Viridiplantae; Streptophyta; Magnoliopsida; Fabales; Fabaceae
Description: long non-coding RNA (CARI_LNC000810)
Source: RNAcentral
GAAUCUCUAUAGCUUUAUUCUCUCACUCUUUCAUGAAGACUAUAUCCUCCUUUAUGGAGACUAUUUCCUCUCUAAAUCUCUAAAGGUAUUACACUCUUCAAUUGAUGCCUUCCUCCUCUUUGAAGAUCAUCUUUCGCUCAUUUCCUACACCACCUUGAAGAGUCCACCUUCACCCACACAACCACCAACACAAUUAUCUCACUCGUAGUAGUUUUAUAUUUGACGGAGCAGACGUCAUCAGAACCUCAUGUCACCUUAUAUCGAAGGUCGCACAAGGCUAGUGUCUCCCACCAUCAAAAUCAUCAGAGAUGUUUUAUAAUUUGAUAUAUCUUGUGUUGUUUGAUUUAUGCUUUUAUAAUUAGUCUGUUUGUCGGUAUAUUUGUUUGUUUCUGUGUUUUUUUU